RNAcentral lists this ribosomal RNA (468 nucleotides) under uncultured bacterium. RNAcentral's name for it is "partial 16S ribosomal RNA". It matches the Rfam family "Bacterial small subunit ribosomal RNA", at positions 28 to 507 of the family's 1533-position model. The record is from RNAcentral.
GACGAACGCUGGCGGCGUGCUUAACACAUGCAAGUCGAACGGAAAGGCCCUGCUUUUGUGUGGUUCUCGAGUGGCGAACGGGUGUGUUACACGUUAGUAACCUUCCCUUUACUUUGGGAUAACUUCAGGAAACUGGUGCUAAUACCUGCUAGGAGCUCCUGCUGCAUGGUGGGGGUUGGAAAGUUUCGGCGGUUGGGGAUGGACUCGCGGCUUAUCGGCUUGUUGGUUGGGUAGUGGCUUACCAAGCCUUUGACGGCUAGCCGGCCUGAGAGGGUGAACGGCGACAAUGGGACUGAGAUACGGCCCAGACUCCUACGGGAGGCAGCAGGGGGGAAUAUUGCACAGUGGGCGGAAGCCUGAUGCAGAAACGUCGCGAGCGGGAUGAAGGCCUUCGGGUUGUAAACCGCUUUAGCCUGUGACGAAGCGUGAGUGACGGUAAUGGGUAAAGAAGCACCGGCUAACUACGUG